RNAcentral lists this ribosomal RNA (253 nucleotides) under uncultured bacterium. Its description in RNAcentral is "partial 16S ribosomal RNA". It matches the Rfam family "Bacterial small subunit ribosomal RNA", at positions 524 to 776 of the family's 1533-position model. The record is from RNAcentral.
GACGAAGGAUGCAAGCGUUAUCCGGAAUCACUGGGCGUAAAGGGUGCGUAGGCGGGUCUUUAAGUCAGGGGUGAAAUCCUGGAGCUCAACUCCAGAACUGCCUUUGAUACUGAGGAUCUUGAGUUCGGGAGAGGUGAGUGGAACUGCGAGUGUAGAGGUGAAAUUCGUAGAUAUUCGCAAGAACACCAGUGGCGAAGGCGGCUCACUGGCCCGAUACUGACGCUGAGGCACGAAAGCGUGGGGAGCAAACAGG